CUUCCAACCAACCAAAUUUCUGCAUUCGGGUCUUAACCAUAUUUAAGUGUUACUGUGGCUUCAAAGAAGCUAUUGAUUCUGAAGUAGUGGGUUUUGAGUGAGUUGACUGUUUUUAAAAAACUGUUUGGAUUUUAAUUGUGAUGCAGAAGUUAUAGCAACAAACAUUUGAUUUCAUAGAUCGGAAGUGCGU
This is a non-coding RNA of Peromyscus maniculatus bairdii (prairie deer mouse), 190 nucleotides long. The record is from RefSeq and is a predicted model, not a curated record. NCBI's taxonomy places the organism in Eukaryota, Metazoa, Chordata, Mammalia, Rodentia, Cricetidae.